This 5664-nucleotide long non-coding RNA is filed under the name Mytilus galloprovincialis (Mediterranean mussel). The record is from RNAcentral. Lineage: Eukaryota; Metazoa; Mollusca; Bivalvia; Mytilida; Mytilidae.
GACCUGCACUGCAUGGAAUCUUUAAGUGGAGAAAAUUUCCUCAAGUUUAUACAAAAGGUAUGUUGAUAAGUAGAGAUGUUUUGGUGUAUAUUAUAGGAUUAAGCACAAAUUUUCGAGAGGGUAUUGAUGUGUCAACCCAGGUUAAAGAAAAUACUUUUCACAUCAUAUUUUUUUUAUGAAAACUUAGUUAAACCACCCAUACAUCACUUUCAAUUCAUCAUGCUUUGCAUUGGCAUAAGCCAAUUUUGUCCGGCAUGGAACCAGUGUACGAUUGACAAAGGGUAGUAAUUUGUUUAAAAAGUGUGUAAUAACAGAAUCAAAUCGGUAAUUGGCAAAUGGACUAUUAUACACUACACAAACAAAUGUUUGGAAGGGGAAUAUAUCAGGAUCACCAUGUCUGUCCAUCCAUUCUUCUGUUUCAGCCACAAAACGUUUGUACCUUAAAACUAAGAAGAUGUGUUAUGAUUGCCAACAAGACUACAAAGACAUAGGUCACCAUAAAAAAUUUAAAACAAUUCAAAGGACUGAUUUAUGUUCAAAACACUAUAAACAAAAAAACUAAUACAAUCUACAACAACAAACAACAACCACUGAACGACAGUCUCCUGAUUUGGGACAGGCAUAUACACAAUGUGGCAGGGUUAAACAGGUUUUCUGACUUCUAACUAUCUCUCUCUCUAACCUGGAAGGUAGUGUAACAGUACAACAUAAAACAAACUAUAAAAAUAUGUCAAAAAGGGCUUCACUACAAUACACCACAUCCCUGUCUGGAAGGAUCAAUUUUGGAGAAUAAUACUGUGAACUAUACAAGCCUAUAUACGGUACUCAAUUUCAUAGCAGCAACUAAAAUGCAUGAACAGGAAGUUUAGGUCAAACUAUGCUUUGUAUGUAAUUGGUCUGUUAUAUGAAGACAAGUUCCCUUUUGAUUUUGAGAAUUUAUUGACUUGUUACAUUUUGUAUUUCAAGAAUAUGCUUUGUGGAUUUCGAACCUGAGUAAAAGACAGCACAUAAUUCCUUAAUCCUUCAUUGAAAGGUUGUUAACCAAAACCCUCAGAUUUUUAACAUCUAACCAAUCUAAAAAUCUAGUUUUUUUUUUUUAAUGUGGCGAGUGUCAUGAUCAUUUAAUGUAAUUUUCAUGCAUGACUUUUAAUCUCUCAUUUAGUAAAUAAGCUGAGUGUUUCUGUUGUUAUAUAUAUUUUUGUUUCCAUCAAAGCAGUGUAGGUGAGGGAUUCAUGUCCCUUUCUAAGCCUCUUUUAAUGUGAUGUUUCAAAGUUUACUAAUAACACUUCUUGUUGAAAUAGGAGUGUGAAGGUUCAUUAGAUUGUAAAAUAUUGUUGAAAAAGAGUGUAUUUUAUUGUUUCUUUUUUAGGAGGGAAGUACUAAAAAUUUCACUGAAGCUUACAGAGCUCUCCGUAAAGUGAUAGAAGAUUACUCUGAAUUGGACAAAUCGUGGUUACAUGAGUUUUGGAGGUAAACGAUUUAAAGAAGCAUCUUUGAUGAAUUUAAUUUUCAUAUGUAGCAAAAAUGUUAGUCAUGAUCUUGUGAAGCAGAGAGGGUGUUAUGGAAUGCUAAUGGCAAUUCAUCCGAUAAUGUAGGUCCUCUCACACCUAUACAUUUGUAGUUCAAAUCAAAUUCAAUAAAAUUGAUGAAAAUUUUACAUGAUAAUUUCUCUCUCACCUACUUUUCUUAUCAAACUUUAAAAAUGUUUACAUCAGCAAUAUGUUGAACACGUUUAAAAUCAUAUAUGACAUGAAAAAAAGCAACAUUUCAAGCCUUCUUGGGAAAAUAAGAGGUCCUUUAAAAAUGAUUUAUUUUGUUCUUAUGAUAUGGUUUAUAUGAUACCACUGAAAGCAUUUUUAAAAAUUCUCAUUAAUCCUUAAACUUUCUUCAUUCCUUUUAGUUCAUCAUCUCAUCACUUUUGUCCCAGUUUCACAUUACUGUAUUGAGCUCAUACAAUAAGCUUCAAUUAGAAAUUCUAGUGUCUAGAUAGUAUCUAAUGAGCAAUAUUUUCAACAUGUGGCCAUUUGGAUGAUAUAUUUUUUUGCACAACUCAAAUACAUUAUGUAGAAAGUUCCAAUUGAAUCAGAAUCAUGACAGUAAUAUUGCCUAAAAAUGACAAUACAUAAUAAUAGCUGAACAGCCGUGGUGUAGUGGUUAGUGCAUUGGACAACUAACACAAAGGUUCCUGGUUCGAUUCCCUUCUGGGAUGAAAAUUUCAGGGACUUAAUUUUCGGCUCUCCCUUGACACCAUUUGCGAGUAUGGUCUUGAGGAAACGACUAUAGUCCGUCGGAAGGGGACGAUAAAUGGCUGACCCGUGUUAAGAGAGAGCCAUAUCUCUUGCACGUUUAAAGACACUCUUGUAGAUUUCGAAAAAAGAGCAGGCUAAUGCUGCUACAAGGCAGCACUCGCACCCGCAAAGUGGAAAGGGAUUAAUAUAAGUUGAAAAACUUGUUUCCCAAUCCACUAUAAAUAAAUAUGUUUAAACUAAUUUUCUUUCAAGGCAAUUUUGCUUCAAUUGGGUAUUUAUUGCUGCUUUCUUAUCAAUUCAGAUGUUGUUUGCCAAAUGGAAAAAUUGCCUAUUUAUGUAAAGACCAUAUGAGCAAAGUUGGAGCCACAAAAAUACGACAUGGGACAAGACAAGUACGACAUGUACUUACAGACCAAGAUAAACACUUUAAGGAGGCAUUAUCAGAAAAUCCAGUGAUCCUGCAGUUAAAACAAGAAGGGAUAACAAUGAAAGACCAUGUAGUAAAGAAAAUAGAACCAAAAACUACAGACGAUUCUAAAGGUUUGUAUUCAAUUUCUCUCAUAUUUUUUUCUUUAUGAAAAUUACAGUUGAUUUUUUAUCUCACUUGAAGGGUUAGUGUGAACUAUUACCAUUGUCUGUCAUUACUCAUCUGCCUUUCGUCAUAGUCAUAGUCAAUUAAUUUAAACAAAAUUCUUAUUCUCUGAAACAACCUUGCAAAAUUUAAACCAAAUUUGACAACAAUCAUCAUUUGGGUUUCAAAUAAUUUGUCUGAUGAUCCCAACUGCCAACUUACAAAGCUGAAAUGGAUAAAAAAUAGAAUGCACUUGUUUGUCUACUACAGUUUCAGUUAGAGGUUGAAGAGGAUAUUCCUGUAAUUUUUCAUGUUAAAAAAAAGCCAUUUAAGUCAUUGGUUAUAAUAAGCUAUUUAUUUUUCUAUGUUGAUAUUACCUUGAUUUCUCCUAUUAGUAUAUAAUAUAGUUUAUUCAAGAAAAUGAUAGUGAAAUCUAAUAUUAAAAAAAAAAAAAUGGACUUAUACCCGCAAACCCCCUUAAUCACUAUAAAAGCAAACAAAUAUAUCAACAAUGAAAAACAAAAUAGACUAUAGGUCAAAGCACGUAAGCAAAAAUGAAAAACAAGAAUGCAAAAAAUGGCAAAAUCUGUCUUCGAAAGAAGCAUGCAUUUGUGUUUUAAAAGUACUUUUACUCUGUUAACUAAUUGGAGUAAACAAGGUAAAAUCAAAAUAAAAAAAGAACUAAAUUACAGAAAUCACUUUUACAAUUUUUUAGUUUAAGUACAGCUUAUUUAAAAAAAAAUUAUAAAAAAUAUAGGUCACCGAUGAGUUCAAAAGUUAUUUCAAUUUUAAUGCAAAAAAUUGGCAUGCUUUUACCAAAGGGAGAUAAUUUGGAGCUUUUCAAUGAUAUAAACAUUUUAAAAGUCAUCUGGGGACAAAAUGAAUUGAUUUUUUUGGUUGGUUUUUAUACCAUUUCAUAAAGUAACAACUAAAAGUGUAACAAAUAAAAUUUGUGACGAAAAAAAUCAUGUUUUAAUAUUUACAAAAAUUUUUGUACCCUCUAGCCUCCUUAAGCAGAAAAAAUAGACAUUGGAUUCCAGAAUAAUGUGGUCAUGAAAUUUUUUUUUAUGUAUUUUCAGGAGAGAAUGCAGAAGAUCAAAAUGUUCCCUCUGAGAAUAAAGACAGCAGACUACUAAAGAGUCGAGAGUCCUCAGCCGAGAGUGAAACUUCACAGCAGUCUACCUCAUCUAAACGCUCACAAAAAUCUCAGAGACGCACAAGUCAAGCAUGUUCGUUGCAGUGAUAACAGACCUUGUUUAUUACAGCAAUAAAAAUAUAUACUGCUAUAACAGUAUACACACAUUACAGUAAUAACAGAACACUACAUUUUAUAAAACUCUUAAAGUCUAUUUGUAACAAAACUGGUAGAACAUGAUCUUGGUAGCAAUAGAAGCACAUGUACAUUAUAGCAAUAGAAAAACAUGUUUAUUGUAGCAAUAGAACAUGUUCAUUGUAGCAAUAGAAGAACAUGUUCACUGUAGCAAUUAAUAGAAGAACAUGUACAUUAUAAUAUUAGAACAUGUGCAUUGUAGAUGUUUUAAAAUUAUUUUUUUGGGGGGAAAUCAGCCUGUACUGUCGUGUGACGUAAGACCACAAAGCAAAACACUUUGAUUAAAAGUUGUUAAAAUUAUAAUAAGAAAUUAACAUCUGAAUAGAUUGCUGAAAUUUUGAAUGUAUUGCUUUAUUGACUCUGAAUUACAACGAAUCAGUAUUACAGGAAAUUUUUCAGGUAAUUAGGGCCCCGCCUUUAGGCGGGUCGCCCUAUAGUGAUCAGUCUGUCCGUCCGUCCGUCUGUAACACUUUAACUUUGUGUCCGCUCCAUAUCUAGAGAACCAUUAUGAUUUCAUACUUUAUACUUUACAUGUUUAUUAACUACCACCAGAGGGCGUGUCAUGAUGUAUGUACAACUUCCUAGGUCAAAGGUCAAGGUCAAAAACUUUGGUUUCAAUUGACAACCCUGUGUCCUGUGGUGAAGAUCGUGUCCGCUCUAUAUCUUGAGAACCGUUAUGAUUUCAAAGUUUAUACUUGACAUCCAUUUUAACCAACACCAGAGGGUGUUUCAUGAUGUAUGUACAACUUCCUAGGUCAAAGGUCAAGGUCAAAAACUUUGGUUUCAGUUGACAACCCUGUGUCCUGUGGUGAAGAUCGUGUCCGCUCCAUAUCUAGAUAACCGUUAUGAUUUUAUACUUAAUACUUAACAUGUUUAUUAACCAACACCAGAGGGUGUGUCAUGAUGUAUGUACAACUUCCUAGGUCAAAGGUCAAGGUCAAAAACUUUGGUUUCAGUUGACAACCCCGUGUCCUGUGGUGAAGAUCGUGUCCGCUCCAUAUCUAGAUAACCGUUAUGAUUUCAAAUAUUAUACUUGACAUCCAUUUUAACCAACACCAGAGGGUGUGUCAUGAUGUAUGUACAACUUCCUAGGUCAAAAGGUCUGUCUGUCUGUUGGUCUGUCCAUCGCUAACAAAUUUGAUCCACACUAUAUUUUGAGAGGACAGCUGUUAUUAUUUCAUACUUUAUACCUGACAAACAUUUUCAACUUAACAUAUAUAUUAACCAACACCAGAGAAUGUGUCAUAAUGUAUGCAUCCUAGGUCAAAGGUCAGUCCGUCGGUCUGUCCAUCCGUUCGUUGUUCUUAACAAAUUGUGUCCGCUCUACCUCUCGAGAACCAUUAAUAUUUCAUACUUUAUACUUGACCGUCUGUCUGUCGGUUUGUACAUGACACCAGAGUGUGUGUGACACCAGAGUGUGUGUUACCAGAGUGUGUGUCAAAGGUCCGUCCGUCGGUCUGUCCAUCAUUUCCAACAUUUAAUUAGCAUUCUUUUUUGGAGGGUCAUAAUAUAUU